AAGAGUUAGGACCUCACCUGAGAG
This 24-nucleotide microRNA is filed under the name Prunus persica (peach). Its description in RNAcentral is "microRNA miRNA_79". The record is from RNAcentral. Lineage: Eukaryota; Viridiplantae; Streptophyta; Magnoliopsida; Rosales; Rosaceae.